GUAGGUGGCAAGCGUUGUCCGGAAUUAUUGGGCGUAAAGCGCGCGCAGGCGGUUCUUUAAGUCUGAUGUGAAAGCCCACGGGCUCAACCGUGGAGGGUCAUUGGAAACUGGAGAACUUGAGUACAGAAGAGGAAAGCGGAUUCCCACGUGUAGCGGUGAAAUGCGUAGAGAUGUGGAGGAACACCAGUGGCGAAGGCGGCUUUCUGGUCUGUAACUGACGCUGAGGCGCGAAAGCGUGGGGAGCAAACAGGAUUAGAUACCCUGGUAGUCCACGCCGUAAACGAUGAGUGCUAGUGUUAGGGGGUUUCCGCCCCUUAGUGCUGCAGCUAACGCAUUAAGCACUCCGCCUGGGGAGUACGGCCGCAAGGCUG
Molecule: ribosomal RNA, 371 nt
Filed under: uncultured organism
Description: partial 16S ribosomal RNA
Rfam family: Bacterial small subunit ribosomal RNA
Source: RNAcentral